Triticum aestivum (bread wheat) is the source of this 135-nucleotide non-coding RNA. The record is from Rfam. Lineage: Eukaryota; Viridiplantae; Streptophyta; Magnoliopsida; Poales; Poaceae.
AUUAUACUCCCUGCAUCCCAAAAUUCUUGUCUUAAAUUUGUCUAAAUAUGAAUGUAUCUAGUCAUGUUUUAGUGUUAGAUACAUCCGUAUCUAGACAAAUGUUAGACAAGAAUUUUGGAACGGAGGUAGUAUUAC